Molecule: ribosomal RNA, 401 nt
Filed under: uncultured eukaryote
Lineage: Eukaryota
Description: bacterial SSU rRNA
Rfam family: Eukaryotic small subunit ribosomal RNA
Source: RNAcentral
CAAUAGCGUAUAUUAAAGUUGUUGCAGUUAAAAAGCUCGUAGUUGGAUUUCUGGCCGAGUGUCCCUAGGCCAGCAUGACGUUUGGUCCUAGGCGCUCUGCCAUCCUUCUGUCAACUUUCGCCUUCUUCAUUGGGGGCGCUGGGGCUCAGAUAUUUUACCUUGAGAAAAUUAGAGUGUUUCAGGCAGGCUUUCGCCGGAAUACAUUAGCAUGGAAUAAUGGAAAAGGACUUCAACCUCUUCUGUUGGUCUGAGAGGCUGUAGUAAUGAUUAAUAGGGAUAUUGGGGGCGAUUAGUACUUAACUGUCAGAGGUGAAAUUCUUGGAUUUGUUUAAAGACGGACUACUGCGAAAGCAUUUGUCCAAGGAUGUUUUUCAUUGAUCAAGAACGAAAGUUAAGGGGAG